RNAcentral lists this ribosomal RNA (246 nucleotides) under uncultured bacterium. Its description in RNAcentral is "partial 16S ribosomal RNA". It matches the Rfam family "Bacterial small subunit ribosomal RNA", at positions 87 to 334 of the family's 1533-position model. The record is from RNAcentral.
UAUGGCGACCGGCGCACGGGUGAGUAACACGUAUCCAACCUGCCGAUGACUCGGGGAUAGCCUUUCGAAAGAAAGAUUAAUACCCGAUGGCAUAGUUCUUCCGCAUGGUAGAACUAUUAAAGAAUUUCGGUCAUCGAUGGGGAUGCGUUCCAUUAGGCAGUUGGUGGGGUAACGGCCCACCAAACCUUCGAUGGAUAGGGGUUCUGAGAGGAAGGUCCCCCACAUUGGAACUGAGACACGGUCCAA